GUAGGUGGCAAGCGUUGUCCGGAAUUAUUGGGCGUAAAGCGCGCGCAGGUGGGAUCUUAAGUCUGUUCUGAAAGUUCGGAGCUUAACUCCGUGAUGGGAUGGAAACUGGGAUUCUUGAGUAUCGGAGAGGAAAGCGGAAUUCCCCGUGUAGCGGUGAAAUGCGUAGAUAUGGGGAGGAACACCAGUGGCGAAGGCGGCUUUCUGGACGAUGUCUGACACUGAGGCGCGAAAGCUAGGGGGGCGAACGGGAUUAGAUACCCCGGUAGUCCUAGCCGUAAACGAUGGGUACUAGGUGUGGGGGGUGUCAACUCCUUCCGUGCCGGCGCUAACGCAAUAAGUACCCCGCCUGGGGAGUACGGCCGCAAGGUUG
This 370-nucleotide ribosomal RNA is filed under the name uncultured bacterium. RNAcentral describes it as "bacterial SSU rRNA". It matches the Rfam family "Bacterial small subunit ribosomal RNA", at positions 527 to 896 of the family's 1533-position model. The record is from RNAcentral.